CCCUUAGAUGUUCUGGGCCGCACGCGCGCUACACUGAUCAGUGCAACAAGCAUCCGUCCUUGGCCGACAGGCCCGGGCAAUCUUUGAACGCUGAUCGUGAUGGGGAUAGACUUUUGCAAUUUUUGGUCUUCAACGAGGAAUUCCUAGUAAACGCAAGUCAUCAACUUGCAUUGAUUACGUCCCUGCCCUUUGUACACACCGCCCGUCGCACCUACCGAUUGAAUGGUCCGGUGAAGCCUCCGGAUUGGCGUGCACCCUCGGGUGCUGCCGAGAAGUUGGCUAAACCUUACCACUUAGAGGAAGGAGAAGUCGUAACA
RNAcentral lists this ribosomal RNA (317 nucleotides) under uncultured eukaryote. RNAcentral describes it as "partial 18S ribosomal RNA". It matches the Rfam family "Eukaryotic small subunit ribosomal RNA", at positions 1470 to 1796 of the family's 1831-position model. The record is from RNAcentral.